GUCCAGACUCCUACGGGAGGCAGCAGUGGGGAAUAUUGCACAAUGGGGGAAACCCUGAUGCAGCGACGCCGCGUGAGCGAUGAAGUAUUUCGGUAUGUAAAGCUCUAUCAGCAGGGAAGAAGAUGACGGUACCUGACUAAGAAGCCCCGGCUAACUACGUGCCAGCAGCCGCGGUAAUACGUAGGGGGCAAGCGUUAUCCGGAUUUACUGGGUGUAAAGGGAGCGUAGACGGCGAUGCAAGCCAGAUGUGAAAGCCCGGGGCUCAACCCCGGGACUGCAUUUGGAACUGUGUGGCUGGAGUGUCGGAGAGGCAGGCGGAAUUCCUAGUGUAGCGGUGAAAUGCGUAGAUAUCAGGAGGAACACCGGUGGCGAAGGCGGCCUGCUGGACUGCGACUGACGUUGAGGCCCGAAAGCGUGGGGAGCAAACAGGAUUAGAUACCCGUGUACAA
RNAcentral lists this ribosomal RNA (449 nucleotides) under uncultured bacterium. Its description in RNAcentral is "bacterial SSU rRNA". It matches the Rfam family "Bacterial small subunit ribosomal RNA", at positions 329 to 794 of the family's 1533-position model. The record is from RNAcentral.